RNAcentral lists this ribosomal RNA (460 nucleotides) under uncultured bacterium. Its description in RNAcentral is "partial 16S ribosomal RNA". It matches the Rfam family "Bacterial small subunit ribosomal RNA", at positions 338 to 795 of the family's 1533-position model. The record is from RNAcentral.
CCUACGGGGGGCAGCAGUGAGGAAUAUUGGUCAAUGGCCGUAAGGCUGAACCAGCCAAGUAGCGUGAGGGAAGACUGUCCUAUGGGUUGUAAACCUCUUUUAUGCGGGGAUAAAGGCGUCUACGUGUGGCUGUUUGCAGGUACCGCAUGAAUAAGGACCGGCUAAUUCCGUGCCAGCAGCCGCGGUAAUACGGAAGGUCCGGGCGUUAUCCGGAUUUAUUGGGUUUAAAGGGUGCGUAGGCCGGUCUUUAAGCUUGCCGUGAAAUCUUGUGGCUCAACCAUGGGAGUGCGGCGCGAACUGGAGGCCUUGAGUGCGCGGAAGGCAGGCGGAAUUCGUGGUGUAGCGGUGAAAUGCUUAGAUAUCACGAAGAACCCCGAUUGCGAAGGCAGCCUGCCGCAGCGUUACUGACGCUGAGGCUCGAAAGCGCGGGUAUCGAACAGGAUUAGAUACCCUGGUAGUC